AGAGUUUGAUCCUGGCUCAGGAUGAACGCUGGCGGCGUGCCUAACACAUGCAAGUCGAACGGGAGUCACUUGGUUCGCUAAGUGAUGAGAGUGGCGCACGGGUGAGUAACACGUAACUAAUCUGCCCUGGAGAGUGGGAUAACGCAUCGAAAGGUGUGCUAAUACCGCAUAAGCUCACGUUGAGUAGGUAGAUGUGAGAAAAGGUUCAGGCGCUUUGGGAUGAGGUUGCGGCCCAUCAGCUAGUUGGUAAGGUAAAGGCUUACCAAGGCGACGACGGGUAGGGGGCCUGAGAGGGUGACCCCCCACACUGGGACUGAGACACGGCCCAGACUCCUACGGGAGGCAGCAGUGAGGGAUAUUGCUCAAUGGACGCAAGUCUGAAGCAGCGACGCCGCGUGAGUGAAGAAGGCCUUCGGGUCGUAAAGCUCUUUUCUUGGUGACGAGGAAGGACGGUAGCCAAGGAAUAAGUGUCGGCUAACUACGUGCCAGCAGCCGCGGUAAAACGUAGGACGCAAGCGUUAUCCGGAAUUACUGGGCGUAAAGAGCGCGCAGGCGGGUGAGCAAGUCAUGUGUGAAAGCUCCCGGCUAAACUGGGAGAGGACGGAUGAUACUGCUGAUCUUGAGUGUGACAGAGGCGUGUGGAAUUCCGCGUGUAGUGGUGAAAUGCGUAGAUAUGCGGAGGAACACCAGUGGCGAAGGCGGCACGCUGGGUCACAACUGACGCUGAGGCGCGAAAGCAUGGGUAGCGAACGGGAUUAGAAACCCCGGUAGUCCAUGCCGUAAACGAUGUGCACUAGACGUUCGGUCGGCUUAGGUCGGAUGAGUGUCGAAGCAAACGCGAUAAGUGCACCGCCUGGGGAGUACGGUCGCAAGGCUAAAACUCAAAGGAAUUGACGGGGGCCCGCACAAGCAGCGGAGCGUGUGGUUUAAUUCGAGGCUACGCGAAGAACCUUACCUGGGUUUGACAUCACCGUGGACGAAAGCGAAAGCUGGAGGUUCCUUCGGGACGCGGUGACAGGUGCUGCAUGGCUGUC
Molecule: ribosomal RNA, 1034 nt
Filed under: bacterium Kaz3
Lineage: Bacteria
Description: bacterial SSU rRNA
Rfam family: Bacterial small subunit ribosomal RNA
Source: RNAcentral